Molecule: unclassified non-coding RNA, 161 nt
Filed under: Picipes tubaeformis
Lineage: Eukaryota; Fungi; Basidiomycota; Agaricomycetes; Polyporales; Polyporaceae
Description: Polyporus tubiformis partial ITS2
Source: RNAcentral
CAACCUACAAAACUUUUUGUAGGCUUGGACUUGGAGGUAUUGCCGACGUUUUCAUAAUGCCGGCUCCUCUCAAAUGCAUUAGCUCGCGUCCUUGCGGAUCGGCUCUUCGGUGUGAUAAUUGUCUACGCCGUGGUCGUGAAGCGUUUUUGACCGGCUUCUAA